AGAGUUUGAUCAUGGCUCAGAAUGAACGUUGGCGGCGUGGAUUAGGCAUGCGAGUCGCGCGAGAAUGUAGCAAUACAGGAAAGCGGCGAAAGGGAGAGGACAACAUGGGAAUCUGCCCGGGGGACGAGGAUAGCGUCGGGAAACUGACGGUAAUACUCGAUAAUGUUUGCGGACCAAAGGUGAGAUUCCGCCCCUGGAUGAGCCCAUGCCCCAUUAGCUUGUUGGCGGUGUAAUAGACCACCAAGGCGAUGAUGGGUAGCUGGUGUGAGAGCACGACCAGCCUCACUGGCACUGAGACACUGGCCAGACACCUACGGGUGGCUGCAGUCGAGAAUCUUCGGCAAUGGACGAAAGUCUGACCGAGCGACGCCGCGUGCGGGACGAAGGCCUUCGGGUUGUAAACCGCUGUCGUAGAGGAUCAAAGGUAAUUGGGUUCUCCCUUUUAUUUGAGUGAUUCUAGGAGGAAGGAGAGGCUAAGCUCGUG
RNAcentral lists this ribosomal RNA (484 nucleotides) under uncultured bacterium. RNAcentral's name for it is "bacterial SSU rRNA". It matches the Rfam family "Bacterial small subunit ribosomal RNA", at positions 8 to 507 of the family's 1533-position model. The record is from RNAcentral.